Molecule: microRNA precursor, 96 nt
Filed under: Marmota monax (woodchuck)
Lineage: Eukaryota; Metazoa; Chordata; Mammalia; Rodentia; Sciuridae
Source: RNAcentral
AGUGGGAUAGUUGGGUCAAAUGGUAGUUCCAUUCCCCGAGGAAUCUCCAUACUGCUUUCCAUAGUGGUUGCACCAAUUUACAGUCCCACCAGCAAU